Molecule: non-coding RNA, 5847 nt
Organism: Cordylochernes scorpioides
Lineage: Eukaryota; Metazoa; Arthropoda; Arachnida; Pseudoscorpiones; Chernetidae
Source: the annotation of a GenBank genome assembly
AUGUUGAAAGGCCGUAUCUUUUGAAAACAAAUGUCCGCCAUAUUGAAUCGUCAUUUUCUACCACAUUUAUAAACAUCCUUAAUUUGCAUAUUGUAUUCUUGAAUGCCACUCCUGUAGACAAAUCAAUAUUGUUCUUUCACUUUGAUCCAAAUUCUUCUAUGCUUAGUUUUCUAUAUAUUGUUUCUAAUGAUAAUAUACACUCAUGGACAAAACUUAAGGAAGUUGUACCUUUCAGCAUGUAUAUCGGGAUUGAGACAAUAACUCUGAAAGAUAUUACAGUGAUCUUUAUUGAAGACACACGAGAUAACCAAGUGUGAACAGCCUCUGUCUCUUUCAAAAAAAACGAUUGUCGAUAUCAAAGACUUUCCACUUCUUUAAGUUUUCUCCAUGGGUGUAGGUACACCUUUUUAAAAUUUAGAUAUUUUUACCAAUUGAAGAAUACCUUAUAUUAUGAAGCCCUCUUAACCAUUGUAUAUUUAUGGCAAAAAAUGACUUUUUCCUAGUCUAAUCUUCAACCAUUUCUUUACAAAUGAAGAAGACACAAAAUUAAGGGUUCUGAUAAGAGGACUUGUGCAUUACAAUACUGAAAAUUCAAGAAGAUCUUGAAAACCAAAGGUUUGAACCACUGAAACGAGCCAGGUUUCGUAGGGCUUAUGUUUUUGAUGUCUCUCAUUUACAUAUUCCUAUUGGUAGAAAGUAUUGCAUAUAGAGUAUGCAAAUUUCGCCAAAAUUUGCACAUGCUAAAAACAUUCAGAUAAGAAUGUAAAAAAAGUCUUGAGUUGGAGUAGAUUUUUUAUUGCAAACAACAAUGACAAAAAUGAUCGGAUAAAUACUAGCUAAUUUUGUUGUCAAAAUGUCAACUGGUUCUUACAACAGAGCCUGGUCAAUAGUCAUGCUAAAUUAUAAAGAUAAUCAUAGAAAUUGAGGAAAAUUAUUUGAAGAUGUAAUUUUAGGUAUUGUCCAAUAAAUCAAGCCGCUUUGUUUUUCAACUAUAAAAACGUUAGUUUUAUAAAAUAUACAUUUAAGUUAUAUCUUUCUAUGUCAUAUGUUUGUUUAUAGUGUAUCCAUAUUUGAAUUUAAGAAUAAAUAUUAAAAACUUAAAAUAAGAAACUAUGCAAUUAUAAUUUUCAAAUACAGUAGAACCUCUCUGUAAAGGACACCUAAUUGCAGAGCCAAAUGAGAGUUGCUAAUUAGUAAAAAAUGGUAAUUUUGCAAAUGAAAACUGUCCUUUACAAAGGUGUCCUCUAGUGUGAAUGUCCUCUCAUAGAGGUUCUACUCUAUAUGAUACAAAAAAAUAAAAAAUAAAAUAAAACGUAAACAUGUACAAUAAAUUGAUAAAGAGGGAGCAACCUCUCGCAAUAUUUUGAGAAAAAAAUUGUUUUUUUUUUUCUUUACAGAUCCAGGUACGCCCUUUUAUAUAAAUUUGUUUUUAUUGCUUUAAAUAAACGUAUAAAAUUUUGUUAUCACAGAAUAUUGAGUGGUAUUGUGGCUAAUUCCUUAUCAUCAUCUUCAAGUUUUUUUACUGGAGUCAUAAACAUAAGACAUUGUGUUCUAAUGCGUAUUUAACAAUAGAGUUGCAUCUUUUGGUGCAUGAACCCAUCUGUUGUAUCUUUUAUACGGGUUCAUUUACCUUUAGCUUUAUAUAUAUUUAAUAUAGUUACAGCCUUUAUGUAUAUAGACAAUUAAUAUACCGCCGUGCUAGAACAAUUAUAUAUUUAUUAUGCGGCGUUGUUUACAUACUGUGUUGCCAGAUCUUUUGUAGCACAGAUUAUAACUAUAUACAACAUGUUCCCCUUUUAAUUAAAGUCCGGGGUCGAAUCUUUUCGGAGGCUUUACCACACGUCCACUUCUAGUGGUGUAGGCAGUGCCUCCUUCAUUGUAGUUUCCUAUGGGAGUUGAAGUGGAUGGGGCCAACUCUUCAGGACUGAGGUUCAGGCGGGGAAAUUCUCCCGGUUCCCUUUGACCACUGGACUCCGAUGAUGUCGAGGGGGCUGGAUCCAAUUGGGGCGAUGACUGGCUGCUCCUUCUCUGUCCAACAGGAUAACUUCUGGGCCGUAGGUGAACUCUGUUCCGUUUUAACAUUCGGCCCUCGUUGUUCUGAAUGAUGUAUGAUCGAGGCUGGUUGGCUUCUCCAAUGAUGGUAGCUGGUCUCCAGGCAUUGCUAGUUUUGGCAUUUACCUGUUCACCAGAACUCAUUUUAGGAAGUAUUUUGGCAUUUCGGUCAUAAUAUUCUUUCAUCUUAUAUUGAUUUUCCCUCUUCUGCUGUAGAAUGUUUUCCGUGCUAAUGAAAGCAGGUUUUAGCUUUGUGGUUUUCAUUGGGAUCAAGGUUCUCAAGUUUCUUCCCAUUAGCAUCUGAGCUGGGGACGGUAGAUUAUUUGACGGAGUUGUUCUCAGGGCUAUUAAACACAUAUAAGGAUCAGUGUUGUCUUGACGGCAUUUCUUAAGUUGCUUCUUUACUGUUUGCACCAUCCUCUCCACUAAUCCGUUUGAUUUUGGGUAUCCUGGGCUAGAGGUUUUAUGUUCUAUGUCCCAUUCAUUUGUAAAAUUAGUAAAGUCUUGUGAUGUAAAUGGUGGUCCAUUAUCAGUGAUGAUGAUCUCUGGAAUCCCAUGUCUUGCGAAGGUAGAUUUCAAAACUGGUAGAAUCUCUUUUGCUGAAGUUGAUGCUACCUUGAUGACUUCAGGAAAGCUGCUGUAGUAGUCUACUAUUAUUAUGAAUACAGAUUGGUCUAGAUAGAAGAAAUCAAUAGCUACUUUUUGCCAAGGGUAGUCUGCUAUUUCGUGAGGUAUAAGUGGUUCUUUCCUUUGCGAAGGUUGUGAUUCUUGACAAAUUCUACACUUAUAAACCAUCUCUUCUAUUUCUCUAUCCAGUCCAGGCCAAUAAAUAGCUUCAUGUGCUCUGUUUUUACAAGCAGAGAUCCCUUGAUGAGACAUGUGUAGUGUUUGCAAGAUGCUUUCCCUUUGGACUUUAGGGAUGACAAGUCUUUGUCCUCUACAAAUCAGGUCUUUCCAUAUAUAUAGUUCUUCUUUACAAUGCCAGUAGGGCUUAACAGCAUAGUCCACACUUUUCUUAUGAAUAGGCCACCCAUUCAGUAUAUGAUCCCUUAAUUUUAUCAUUUCUUCAUCUGACUCCAUAUCUCUGAGAAUUUCCUGGUAUCUUUUAGUGGUCACCUUCAGAUUUAGAGUCAUAAUGGUGUUCUGGAGAUCCAGAUCUGAGGUGUCGAUGGUUUCCUCUGAAAUUGAAUCUCUAGAUAGAGUGUCUGCGGUGUGAAUCACUUUUCCUGGUACAUAUUCUAAAUUAAAAUCAUAUCGCAUCAAUUUCAAGACCAGUCUUUCAAGUCUUGGCGAUAAUUCCUCUAGUGGCUUUUUUAGUAUAGCCAACAAGGGUUUAUGAUCCGUCUGGGCUGUGAACUUUCUUCCAUACAAAUGAUAGUUAAAUCUUUGGCAUCCAUACCAGAGAGCUAAGAGCUCCUUUUCAAUCUGGGCAUAUUUUUUCUGAGUGUUAUUCAAGGAUGCGGAUGCAAAAGCGAUGGGUCUUCCCUCUUGCAUCAAGACAGCCCCAAGCCCAUGUUGACUAGCGUCCACUGAAAGUGUUACCUUCCGAUGGGGGUCAAAGAGGCCAAGAACUGGAGGAUUUGAUACCAAAUUUUUCAGCUCAAUGAAUUCUUUUUCUAUAGCCUCAUUCCAUGUCCACAGGGUAUUCUUUUUUAGGAGUUGUCUUAACAAGACAGUUUUAUCUGCCAGAUUAUGCAUGAAUUUAGCUAGAUAGUUCACAGUUCCCAAAAAUCUUUGAAGAGAUGUCUUGUCCAUUGGUCUUUUUAUUUUUUGUAUUGCUUCUAAUUUAGAUGGAUCUGCAGAGAUGCCAUUCUUGGAUAUCUCAUGUCCAAUGAACUUAACUUUUUCUUGGGCCAGUUGCAUUUUAUUGAAUUCAAACUUUAAAUUAUUUUUUCUAGCAAUUUCCAAAACCGUAAUCAGUCUACUAUUGUGCUCCGUGAGGGAGUUUCCGUAUAUUAUUAUAUCAUCCAUGUAUACUUUUACUCCUUCAAUUCCUGUAAACAUACUUUGCAUUUUUUUAUAGAAAACUUCUGGAGCGCUGCAAAUACCAAAAGGUAACCGAUGGAAUCUGUAAUACCCAUAAGGUGUAGCCAUUGUUAAAAGGCUAGAUGACUUUUCGUCUAACUUGAUUUGCCAAAAGGCUGACUUAGCAUCAAGUACUGUAUAGAUGGGUGAUUUUGUGAUAUCAGCAAUGAUGCCUUCAGGGGCAGGAAGUUGACGAUAUUCCAUUUUAAUCCAUGGAUUUAGCUCUCUAGGGUCCAUACAGAUACGAACCUUUCCAUUUGGUUUCUUAAUGAUUACCAUCGGGUGUGCCCACUCUGCUGGUUGGUCUACCUUUGAGAUGAUCUUUUGUUCCUCCAUCGAUUUUAGCUCCAUCUCAACUGGUUUUUUCAGUGCAAACGGAAUUCGGCGAGCUAACUGAAUUCUUGGAUGUGCAUUUUCUCUCAGGAUCACAGAAUGCUCUCCAGGGAGUGUUCCGAUCUCAUCAAAGACAUCUCUGUAGGACUCUAUUAUCUUUGUAGGUGAAGCAUCCAUCUUUGUCCUAGUAUGGUCCUGUUCCAACGACUCUACUUUUAAUAUCAGCUCUAAUUUUUUACACGCUGCCAAUCCCAAAAUUGGUGGAGCUGGCAAAUCCACGACUAGAAAUUCAAGGAUUUCAGAUUUUUUCCCAGAGGUACAUGAAGCCUUGCAUUUGCCCCUUAUUGGUACUUUUUCUCCUGUAUAUGAAUAAACCGCAAUCCCAGUUGGAUAUAUGCAGGGUUUAUUUUGCCAAUUUUUAAUGGUAUCCAAUGGCAGGAUGUUCACCUGUGCUCCUGUGUCUAAUUUAAAAUUAACUGAAUUAUUCUCCACCAAGAUUAUUUUAGUCCACUCUAGACCAGUAAUGCUAUCUAGGGAUAGGUAUUGAAGACACAUUUCUUCUUCCUCUUCCGCUCUUCCCUCCAACAUAUGCACUCUGUUCCUACACAUUUUAGCAAAAUGGUUUGGUUUUUUACAUGAAUUGCAUAUUUUACCAUAUGCAAAACAUUUACCAUAUGGAUGUCUGGAACCACAAUUUUGGCAAACCUUUGCAUUAGGAUGUUCCUCAGAUACAUUAGGUUUUCUACCAACUGGAUAUUUGAAAUUCUUUUUAUAUUGCUUUUUAUAUUUUAUAGAAUGUAAAUCAACAUCUUCUCUAGUUAUAUUUUUUACUUGUUGUCUAGAAGUUUCAGUAGCUCUUCCCAAGUCUAUGGCUUUAGCUAAAGAAAGAUCAGGAUCUUGUAGCAUCCUUUCUUUUAAAGCUUUGUCUUUAAUUCCAAUUAUAAUUCUAUCUCUGACCAAGGAAUCUGCAAGCUCUCCAAAUUCGCAGUCCAUGCUUUUAUUUUUCAAUUCAGUUACAUAGUCAUCAAAAUUCUGAUUCUCCCCUUGUUCCGUUGUAAAAAACUGGUACCUCUUAUAGGUUGUGUUUUUAUAUGGUUUAAAGUGUCCAUCAAACAGUUCAAGUAUAUCCGGAACAGUCGGAGAGGCAUCAGUUUCUUGUAUUUUAAAUGUAGAGUAUAUAUCUAGGGCUAACUCACCAAUAUUAUAGAGUAGAAUAGCCCUUUGUCUUGGAAUAGAUUUUUUAUCUAUUUCUGUGGCUAUGUAAAACAUUUGGAAUCUCUUUUUCCAUUUACCCCAUGCUUCUGAUGGGUUUGUUCCAGGCACAAAUGGCUGCAAACUAUUCCCGGUACUCGAGGCCAUUUUUCAACGUGUUAGGCUUAAUUGAUAUUUGAAAUUUUACUUAUCUUUCAAAAUCCCGGCGCUGCCACCAUGUUGUAU